This 495-nucleotide ribosomal RNA is filed under the name uncultured bacterium. RNAcentral describes it as "partial 16S ribosomal RNA". It matches the Rfam family "Bacterial small subunit ribosomal RNA", at positions 28 to 507 of the family's 1533-position model. The record is from RNAcentral.
GAUGAACGCUGGCGGCGUGCCUAAUACAUGCAAGUAGAACGCUGAAGGAGGAUCUUGCUCUUCUGGAUGAGUUGCGAACGGGUGAGUAACGCGUAGGUAACCUGCCUGGUAGCGGGGGAUAACUAUUGGAAACGAUAGCUAAUACCGCAUGACAACAGUUAUUGCAUGAUAACUGUUUAAAAGGGCCAACUUCUCCACUACCAGAUGGACCUGCGUUGUAUUAGCUAGUUGGUGAGGUAACGGCUCACCAAGGCGACGAGACAUAGCCGACCUGAGAGGGUGGUCGGCCGCACUGGGACUGAGACACGGCCCAGACUCCUACGGGAGGCAGCAGUCGGGAAUCUUCGGCAAUGGACGGAAGUCUGACCGAGCAACGCCGCGUGAGAGAAGAAGGUUCUCGGAUCGUAAAGCUCUGUUGUAAGAGAAGAACGAGUGUGAGAGUGGAAAGUUCACGCUGUGACGGUAUCUUACCAGAAAGGGACGGCUAACUACGUG